CUCCACCCGAGACUCAGUGAAAUUGAACUCGCUGUGAAGAUGCAGUGUACCCGCGGCAAGACGGAAAGACCCCGUGAACCUUUACUAUAGCUUGACACUGAACAUUGAGCCUUGAUGUGUAGGAUAGGUGGGAGGCUUGGAAGUGUGGACGCCAGUCUGCAUGGAGCCGACCUUGAAAUACCACCCUUUAAUGUUUGAUGUUCUAACGUUGACCCGUAAUCCGGGUUGCGGACAGUGUCUGGUGGGUAGUUUGACUGGGGCGGUCUCCUCCUAAAGA
RNAcentral lists this ribosomal RNA (277 nucleotides) under Escherichia coli. Its description in RNAcentral is "partial 23S ribosomal RNA". It matches the Rfam family "Bacterial large subunit ribosomal RNA", at positions 2020 to 2296 of the family's 2925-position model. The record is from RNAcentral. Lineage: Bacteria; Pseudomonadati; Pseudomonadota; Gammaproteobacteria; Enterobacterales; Enterobacteriaceae.